RNAcentral lists this ribosomal RNA (85 nucleotides) under Flavobacterium sp. The record is from RNAcentral. Lineage: Bacteria; Pseudomonadati; Bacteroidota; Flavobacteriia; Flavobacteriales; Flavobacteriaceae.
CACCUCUUCCCAUUCCGAACAGAGAAGUUAAGCCCGCCUGCGCAGAUGGUACUGCAAUUUGUGGGAGAGUAUGUCGCUGCCUUUC